UUUUAUUCUCAGGUAUCUUAAGAUGAACUCUCUGCAGAUUUUAUUUAUAUUUUUAUUUUUUUGAGACGGAGUCUUGCUCUGUCACUCAGGCUGGAGUGAAGUGGUAUGAUCUCAGCUCACUGCAACCGCUUCCUGGGUUCAAGUGAUUCUCCUGCCUAGGCCUCCCGAGUAGCUGGGAUUACAGGCGCACGCUGCCACGCCCAGCUCAUUUUUGUAUUUUUUAGUAGAGACGGGGUUUCACCAUGUCAGGCUGGUCUCAAACUCCUGACCUCAGGUGAUCCACCCGCCUCGGCCUCCCAAAGUGCUGGGAUUACAGGCAUAAGCCAUCACACCAGGCCUCUCUGCAGAUUUUAAAUGCUAAUCCAGGUGUUCAAAGAUGAGAAGAAUGAACACUAAUGGGAGUAUGAUGGCCAGAAGAAUGUCUGGCCUUCAAAUAUAGACAGACAGUCCUUGACUUACAAUUUUUUGCCUUGAGUAUAGUGUGAAAGUGAUAAAUAUUUAGUAGAAAAUGUACUUCAAAUUUUAAAUUUUGAGAUUUUCCUGGGCUAGCAAUAUGCAGUAAAAUACUCUUACAUGAGAUAAAAAUAGGCUUUGUGUUAGAUGAUUUUGCCCAACUGUAGGCUAAUCUAAGUAUUCUGAGAAAGUAUAAGGAAGGCUAGGCUGUUAUGAUGUCCUGUAGGUCAGAUGUAUUAAAUGCAUUUUUUUUUUUUUGAGAUGGAGUCUUGCUCUGUCGCUUAGGCUGCAGUGCAGUGGUGCGAUCACAGCUUACUGCAACCUCCGCCUGCCAGGUUCAAGCGAUUCUCCUGCCUCAGCCUCCCGAGUAGCUGGGAUUACAGAGGUCCACCACCACGCCCCGAAUUUUUGUGUUUUCAGUAGAGACGGGGUUUCACCAUGUUGGCCAGGCUGUUACGAACUCCUGACCUCAAAUGAUCUGCUCGCCUCGGCCUCCCAAAGUGCUCAGAUUAUAAGUGUGAGCCACCGUGCCUGGCCUUAAAUGCAUUUUUGACUUAACAAUAUUUUCAAUUUAUCUCAGGUUUAUUGGAACUAACCCCAUCAUUAAGUUGAAGAGCAUAUGUGUGAGUAUGUACAUGUACAUGUAUGUGUGUGUAUUGUGUGUAUGUGUAUGUGUGUGUACAUGUGUGUAUGUAUGUGUGUGUGUGUGUAUGUAUGUGUAUGUGUGUAUAUAUAUAUAUCAGACAAAAGAAAUAGUUUGAUCAAAGCAGAGCUUUUUUGACCUGAAGAUCUUUUUGGCUUCAAUCCUUAAAAAAAAAAAAAUCAAAUAAUAAUAUAAUAUAGACACUGUACACAUGAAUGUAUAGCUUACUAGAUUUGCUUUUUCUUUUUUUUGAGACAGGGUCUCAUUCUGUCACCCAGGCUGGAUUGCAGUGGCACGAUCACAGCUUACUGCAGCCUCGACCUCCCCAAGCUCAAGUGAUCCUCCCACCUCAGCUUCCUGAGUAGCUGGGAAUACAGGUGUGUGCCACCACAUCCAGCUAAUUUUUGUACUUUUUGUAGAUAUGGGGUUUCACCACGUUGUUUGCCCAGGCUGGUCUCGAACUCCUGGCCUCAGGCAAUCUGCCCGCCUCAGCCUCCCAAAGUGCUAGGAUUACAGGCAUGAGCCACCAUGCCUAGCUGCUUGCUGAAUUUUCAAAUACUGAAUAAAUUCAUGUAACCGGUACUCAGAUCCAGGACAGACACAGAAACCAGCUGGUAGAAAAGCCUUAAAUGAUAGGCAAAAAAAUAGCUUUACCAUUCAUGCAUAUAAUCAUGUAGUAAAUAUUGUAUGAAUGUCUAGGAGGCUCAAAGUCUAAACGGGUCUUUCUAAAAUUCCUGAACACUAUCUAGUGUUAUCAAGAGUGUCACAGGGAGGAAAUAAGAUGAACGGACAG
This 1889-nucleotide long non-coding RNA is filed under the name Homo sapiens (human). RNAcentral describes it as "HSALNT0014951". The record is from RNAcentral. Lineage: Eukaryota; Metazoa; Chordata; Mammalia; Primates; Hominidae.